This is a long non-coding RNA of Armigeres subalbatus, 812 nucleotides long. RefSeq lists it as uncharacterized. The record is from RefSeq and is a predicted model, not a curated record. Lineage: Eukaryota; Metazoa; Arthropoda; Insecta; Diptera; Culicidae. The transcript has 4 exons.
GUGUGCCGUGUAGUGUAGUUUGUUUUCAAUUUUUUCACGUUGUUAUUGUUUUCUUUUUAUGGUAUCCAACAGGUAUCCAUAACAAACAAACCCAACUGCACUCGAAACGUUCGUUUUUGCCGUCCAAAAUGCUGCACCAAACGGUGUCGCUACACCUCAAAAACGAAAACGACAUUAAUUACCCCAUAAAAAAUUUGACAGCUCCGAAAUUUCACGAUCAUCCGACGAAAUCGGGUGCAUACCAAAUCGUCCUAUUUUUACACCGACGACGUCGAUUGUCGUAGGAUAAAUAUUUUCGUCGCCAGAUUCAUUGAACGAUUAUAACGUGAGCAAUCGGUUGCCUAUUUCAUCGGUAAAAUAAUCGAUUGAUUGUGUACUUAGUGCUUAUUUUGAUAGAUUCAUGAACAGACGAAAUCGAAUCCCCGUGUUCAUAAACAUAGAGUGAAAAAAAAGGAAGGUUCUUCGGUAGUAAGCGAUUAAUAAAGUGUUCAUAGACAUGGCCAGCUUCGUGGAUGGCCACGUACACAAGGGCUUUUUUGCAGUUGAAGAGGACCUGAGGGCGCUCAAUGUUCAGGGCGAUUGGAAGCGAUUGGCCCAGGAUCGAGUCCAGUGGAAAAAAAUACUUAAUUCGGCGUAGGUUCAUCGAAGACCUGUAGCCCAUCAAGUAACAAAAUCAUGAAGUUCCUGCGAUGCCACCCGAUUUGAUAAACCAAUUAAUCCCCCUAUUUCGUCGGAUUCCAUUAUUUUCCACAUCGAUGAAUUUAUAGAUUUAAUCUGAUUUGCUUAAUGAUAAAAUUAAAUAAACCGAUUAA